RNAcentral lists this ribosomal RNA (300 nucleotides) under uncultured Bacillus sp. Its description in RNAcentral is "bacterial SSU rRNA". The stretch from base 52 to 300 matches the Rfam family "Bacterial small subunit ribosomal RNA", at positions 547 to 795 of the family's 1533-position model. The record is from RNAcentral. Lineage: Bacteria; Bacillati; Bacillota; Bacilli; Caryophanales; Bacillaceae.
GUUAAUGUGGUGCGUGAUGCGAGGGGAGUAGGUAGGGGGUUGGCGUGGGCCGGAUUUGUUGGGCGGAAAGAGCGUGUAGGGGGCUAGGUAGGUCAGUGUUGAAAACUGGAGGCUCAACCUCGGGACGUCGAUGGAAACCAUCUAGCUAGAGUCCGGAAGAGGAGAGUGGAAUUCCUGGUGUAGCGGUGAAAUGCGCAGAUAUCAGGAAGAACACCCGUGGCGAAGGCGGCUCUCUGGGACGUGACUGACGCUGAGACGCGAAAGCGUGGGGAGCGAACAGGAUUAGAUACCCGAGUAGUC